This 250-nucleotide unclassified non-coding RNA is filed under the name plant metagenome. Its description in RNAcentral is "partial contains small subunit ribosomal RNA, internal transcribed spacer 1, and 5.8S ribosomal RNA". The record is from RNAcentral.
GUAGGAACAAGUCCUUGAUUCUUUCAAUGCACUUGCUGAAGCCUUUGCGGGGUCUUUUUCGAAAAGAUCGAUCAGCCGCGACUAUAAAGAAAAGGUGGUCUCUAGUUGCCCUGCUCAUGGGUUGCUAGACGUUAGUUGGCUAUGGCUAGCGACACCGUUGGACUGUGGCGAUCCUCCUGCUGGAGCAAUCCGUAGCUUGCAUUCAACGAUGCAAGUCCACAGACUAAGUGACGGUGGGCAUGAGAGUUUU